This 335-nucleotide ribosomal RNA is filed under the name uncultured bacterium. Its description in RNAcentral is "bacterial SSU rRNA". It matches the Rfam family "Bacterial small subunit ribosomal RNA", at positions 568 to 899 of the family's 1533-position model. The record is from RNAcentral.
UGUGUAGGCGGUUGUUUAAGUUUGGUGUGAAAUCUCCCGGCUCAACUGGGAGGGUGCGCCGAAUACUGAAUGACUUCGAGUGCGGGAGAGGAGAGUGGAAUUCCUGGUGUAGCGGUGAAAUGCGUAGAUAUCAGGAGGAACACCGGUGGUGUAGACGGCUCUCUGGACCGUAACUGACGCUGAGACACGGAAAGCGUGGGUAGCAAACAGGACUUAGAUACCCUGGUAGUCCACGCCCUAAACGAUGCACAUUUGGUGUGGGCAGUUCAUUCUGUCCGUGCCGGAGCUAACGCGUUAAAUGUGCCGGCCUGGGGAGUACAGUCGCAAGGCUAGAA